UCAAAAGUGGGUGUCAAAAUGACUGUGGAA
Molecule: non-coding RNA, 30 nt
Filed under: Homo sapiens (human)
Lineage: Eukaryota; Metazoa; Chordata; Mammalia; Primates; Hominidae
Source: RNAcentral